RNAcentral lists this ribosomal RNA (267 nucleotides) under uncultured bacterium. RNAcentral's name for it is "partial 16S ribosomal RNA". It matches the Rfam family "Bacterial small subunit ribosomal RNA", at positions 793 to 1055 of the family's 1533-position model. The record is from RNAcentral.
GUCCUAGCCGUAAACGAUGGGCACUAGGUGUGGGAGGUAUCGACCCCUUCCGUGCCGCAGCUAACGCAUUAAGUGCCCCGCCUGGGGAGUACGGCCGCAAGGUUGAAACUCAAAAGGAAUUGACGGGGGCCCGCACAAGCGGUGGAGCAUGUGGUUUAAUUCGACGCAACGCGAAGAACCUUACCGGGGCUUGAACUGCAGAGGACUGCCCUAGAAAUAGGGAUUUCCCGCAAAGGGACUUCUGUAGAGGUGCUGCAUGGCUGUCGU